Molecule: long non-coding RNA, 174 nt
Filed under: dengue virus type 2
Lineage: Riboviria; Orthornavirae; Kitrinoviricota; Flasuviricetes; Amarillovirales; Flaviviridae
Description: Dengue virus type 2 partial sfRNA4
Rfam family: Flavivirus DB element (bases 6-77)
Source: RNAcentral
ACAAUGGGGGCCCAAGGUGAGAUGAAGCUGUAAUCUCACUGGAAGGACUAGAGGUUAGAGGAGACCCCCCCGAAAUAAAAAACAGCAUAUUGACGCUGGGAAAGACCAGAGAUCCUGCUGUCUCCUCAGCAUCAUUCCAGGCACAGAACGCCAGAAAAUGGAAUGGUGCUGUUG